This 72-nucleotide transfer RNA is filed under the name Apaloderma vittatum (bar-tailed trogon). It matches the Rfam family "tRNA". Rfam says of the family: Transfer RNA (tRNA) molecules are approximately 80 nucleotides in length. Their secondary structure includes four short double-helical elements and three loops (D, anti-codon, and T loops). The record is from Rfam by way of RNAcentral. Lineage: Eukaryota; Metazoa; Chordata; Aves; Trogoniformes; Trogonidae.
GACCGUUUAGCUCAGUGGGUUGAUCGUGGUGCUGAUAACACCAAGAUCAUGGGUUUGAUUCCCGUUCAGUCC